GACGAACGCUGGCGGCGUGCUUAACACAUGCAGGUCGAACGGAAAGGCCUGCUUUCCCUUGUGGAUUGCGGGUACUCGAGUGGCGAACGGGUGAGUAACACGUGAGUGAUCUGCCCCCAACUUGGGUGUAAGCCUGGGAAACUGGGUCUAAUUCCCGAUAGGACUGCAGGGUGGUGCCUGUGGUGGAAAACGAUUUUCUAGUGGUUGGGGAUGAGCUCGCGGCCUAUCAGCUUGUUGGUGGGGUAAUGGCCUACCAAGGCGGCGACGGGUAGCCGGCCUGAGAGGGUGGACGGCCACAUUGGGACUGAGAUACGGCCCAGACUCCUACGGGAGGCAGCAGUGGGGAAUAGUGCACAAUGGGCGGAAGCCUGAUGCAGCGACGCCGCGUGGGGGAUGACGGCCUUCGGGUUGUAAACUCCUUUCGACCGCGAGGAAGCCACCUGGUUGGAAGGGUGGUGACGGUAGUGGUAGAAGAAGCACCGGCUAACUACGUG
RNAcentral lists this ribosomal RNA (494 nucleotides) under uncultured bacterium. Its description in RNAcentral is "partial 16S ribosomal RNA". It matches the Rfam family "Bacterial small subunit ribosomal RNA", at positions 28 to 507 of the family's 1533-position model. The record is from RNAcentral.